This 385-nucleotide ribosomal RNA is filed under the name uncultured bacterium. Its description in RNAcentral is "bacterial SSU rRNA". It matches the Rfam family "Bacterial small subunit ribosomal RNA", at positions 355 to 732 of the family's 1533-position model. The record is from RNAcentral.
UGAGGAAUAUUGCACAAUGGGCGAAAGCCUGAUGCAGCGACACCGCGUGAAGGAUGAAGGUCUUAGGAUUGUAAACUUCUGUUAAGUGGGAAAAAAGACUUGCUUCAAAUAAAAGCAAGGGAUGAUGGUACCACUAGAGAAAGCACCGGCUAACUUCGUGCCAGCAGCCGCGGUAAUACGAGGGGUGCAAACGUUAUUCGGAAUUACUGGGUGUAAAGGGUACGUAGACGGCAUAUUAAGUCAAUUGUUAAAUUCCCCAGCUUAACUGGGGGUAGGCGGUUGAAACUAAUAAGCUAGAGAGUGGAAGAGAGAAGUGGAAUUCUCGGAGUAGCGGUAAAAUGCGUAGAUCUCGAGAGGAACACCGAUGGCGAAGGCAGCUUCUUGG